RNAcentral lists this long non-coding RNA (752 nucleotides) under Salvia miltiorrhiza (redroot sage). RNAcentral's name for it is "long non-coding RNA (SMIL_LNC002126)". The record is from RNAcentral. Lineage: Eukaryota; Viridiplantae; Streptophyta; Magnoliopsida; Lamiales; Lamiaceae.
AAAGACCUUUCAUUUUUGGAAGGGAGGAUAGCAAUAGCCGGAGUUCCAUAUCAGUAUCAGAGGACUCCUCGAAUUCAGUAAGUCUCCUUUGCUUCAAAACUAAUAAUUGAGAGGUACAUUAGCAUGCUUUGCUUAAGCUACUGCUUUUUAUUUUUGGCUAAAAUAUCUAUCAUGAUACUCUGUAUCUUCCGCUAUUGGCUUCUGCUAUAUAUGCUUCAUAUAUCAAUGGAUGUGCAUUUAUAGAACUUGAUUUACUUGGAAUUAGUAAGCUAUAUAGUUUUAACUUUUAAGUAACCAUCUUUCACGGAUUAUUUCAACAAUAACCUUCGUUUGUUUCUUUACUGAGCGUGGAAUAUUUGGUUUAUCUCCUCCCGUAGCCACUGAAUCCUCUGAAGCUCUUGCUAUCAUAUCGUUAUUCUCUACUGCAGUUGCUAAUGCAGUGACGGUAUCAUACGCCCACAGACAUUCAAAUCCAUACCCGCUCUGCUGCUAUUUAUCUCCCGCCUCUCUUGGAAAUAUCUCAAUUCCUUGGAAGGCCUCAAGCAAGCGCCGUGCAUUCAUAUUAGGUAAGCUUAUACACUACUCUACUGCCUUUUUUCCGUGAGGUGAGGAUGAUGCAUCACCAUGUGAGAUAUCAGUAGAUGUUCGAUUUAUGAUUAUUCUAAACAUCUUAAGUUCUGAUUUUCCAGGUCCUUGCUUUAUGUGACCAUCCUGCUCUCUUGGAUAAAUCUGAAACACACAGUUUAUUUAGN